Molecule: long non-coding RNA, 303 nt
Organism: Hyaena hyaena (striped hyena)
Lineage: Eukaryota; Metazoa; Chordata; Mammalia; Carnivora; Hyaenidae
Exons: 2
Source: RefSeq, a predicted model, not a curated record
GUUGGCUGCCAUGUUAUGAGGAGAAGCCCAUGUGGCAAGGAAUUUGGCUUCCUACCGAAAGCCAGUUAGGAACUGAGGACUUCUGCAAUAGACAAAUCCAGCAGGAAAUUGUAGAAGGGACGAUGCAAGCCCAGUUGCUGCCUCUGGAGAGCAACGACUGAUGUCGCCUGCAGCUGAGAAACCUCCUAGCUGAUAGGUCAAGAUCACAAAUGGAUAAAUUCUGUCCUGAUCCCACUCCCACAGGAUUUCAAUUCAUUGAGCUCUUAGUUCGUUACUGACCCAAAUAAAAUGUGCAAGACUCUC